GGCUCAGGACGAACGCUGGCGGCGUGCCUAAUACAUGCAAGUCGAGCGGACAGAUGGGAGCUUGCUCCCUGAUGUUAGCGGCGGACGGGUGAGUAACACGUGGGUAACCUGCCUGUAAGACUGGGAUAACUCCGGGAAACCGGGGCUAAUACCGGAUGGUUGUUUGAACCGCAUGGUUCAGACAUAAAAGGUGGCUUCGGCUACCACUUACAGAUGGACCCGCGGCGCAUUAGCUAGUUGGUGAGGUAACGGCUCACCAAGGCGACGAUGCGUAGCCGACCUGAGAGGGUGAUCGGCCACACUGGGACUGAGACACGGCCCAGACUCCUACGGGAGGCAGCAGUAGGGAAUCUUCCGCAAUGGACGAAAGUCUGACGGAGCAACGCCGCGUGAGUGAUGAAGGUUUUCGGAUCGUAAAGCUCUGUUGUUAGGGAAGAACAAGUGCCGUUCAAAUAGGGCGGCACCUUGACGGUACCUAACCAGAAAGCCACGGCUAACUACGUGCCAGCAGCCGCGGUAAUACGUAGGUGGCAAGCGUUGUCCGGAAUUAUUGGGCGUAAAGGGCUCGCAGGCGGUUUCUUAAGUCUGAUGUGAAAGCCCCCGGCUCAACCGGGGAGGGUCAUUGGAAACUGGGGAACUUGAGUGCAGAAGAGGAGAGUGGAAUUCCACGUGUAGCGGUGAAAUGCGUAGAGAUGUGGAGGAACACCAGUGGCGAAGGCGACUCUCUGGUCUGUAACUGACGCUAGAG
RNAcentral lists this ribosomal RNA (748 nucleotides) under Bacillus siamensis. RNAcentral describes it as "bacterial SSU rRNA". It matches the Rfam family "Bacterial small subunit ribosomal RNA", at positions 21 to 751 of the family's 1533-position model. The record is from RNAcentral. Lineage: Bacteria; Bacillati; Bacillota; Bacilli; Caryophanales; Bacillaceae.